ACGCACGCACACGCACACGCACACGCACACACACAGGCACACACACACACACAUACGCACACGCACACGCACACGCGCACGCGCACGCGCACGCGCACACACACACACACACACACACACACACACACACACACACACACACACUCUUACAGAGGGCUUGUGGGUAAUGGACGUGCUUUUAAAAAUAUUUCUUUCAUCUGAACACUCUGUCUGGCACCUUGCCUUGACCCACUUAGAAGAUAUUUACUCAAAAGCUUGAUGAGCUGGGCUGUUUGCAGUUUUCUUUGCUGAAACAGAAUAAACAUUCACAUCAGAGUUUUUGGAAACAAAGAUUAAGAAAUAAUAGAAUUAUUAACUAGAGGAUGAUAGAUUACGAUUAGAAGAAUAUAUUUUUUCUUCACACAACAAAGAUUGAAAAAGAUGAAAGUAAAUUGGUAAAAAUGAUAAAAGGUAGUAACAGGGAUUUGCCAUGUUAUAUGAUGCCUGUUAUUACACACAAUACCUGUAUCUGUGUGUUAUUUAUCAGAGCAUUUUGCUCUUUUGUGUGAUGUGCAUCCCUAGCAGUAUGACUGUGUGAGGAGGCCUUCACUGAUUGGCUACUGGUGUCAGACGUGGGACCCCGCCCUCUGUUGUUGGAGUCCAGUCGUAGUGUCUCACUGCUCUGCUCCUGGCUGGGUUUGAUUGCCGGUUCCCUUGGUAACCAGGUGGCAGGUGGAGCUUCUGUGUUACAGCAGGCUAGGGUGGUGAAGCGGGUGGGUAGGGUGGCGGGCUUCCUUACACUGUUUUUGGUAGUAUAUGAGAGGACAACCCUGCAGCUCUGUACAGCUGUGGGCUCUAUCGCAGCUGGACAAAUUGUAUGUAAACAAGGCCAAGAGCCUGUUCAAGCACCGAUGGAAGGUUUGCUUUUGUCUGCUGACCUUACCAUGGGAAUGUGGAGGGAGGAAGAAUGGAUAGAUACAAAUUCAUCAAUUUAUAUUUUAAAUGGAGGAAAGACAGGAUUUUAAAAAUUCACUGUGGGGAAAAAGGGGGAGUAUUACUGUUGGGGGCGUGAUUCUAAAUUAAUCUGCCUUAUUAUUAGUGAUGAGUAGUUGUGUACCAAAAUGAACACCAGGGGGCGCCUGCUGUCUGACCUCACCAGCACCCUCUCAUGCGAGGGGCUGCAGCGUGCGGCGACGUACCGUGUCAUUAAUUUAAUUAGGCUAAGCGCAUUAGGCCCAGAUGAAAGGCUGUAAUUUUGUGUCGGUCUGAUUUUCACUCUUCAGCCUUGUGUAAUCGAGUUCACCUGGAGGAACCUGAACUUCCCAUGAUGCAUCACUCCUGUCAUGAUUAGCCUUUUGCGGGGGUAGUCGGGCCUCCGACGAGAAGGUUUGUGUCAAUUGGUGGCAUCAUCACUCAGAAAGUGAAAUUUGCCCCCUCCAAUAAACGUAAUUUGUGCUCAAAAUCGUUUGUUUGUUUUGCCUCUCUGCCUAAAAAUGUCAGAAGCAUCAGUGGAAAGGGUUCAGAAUGUAUGAUUAACCAGUCAUCUGAGAGCCCGUUGGAUCCUGUCCGGCACGGCGAGAACCUUCCAGCGUACGAUCAGCAGGGGAUCUGGUCGCGUGCGGAGACCUUGUGAGAACAGCUGGUCGUAGAUGAGCAGAGUGUUUCAUUUUCUGAUUUAUGAGCUCAUGGCCGGAUUACACAGUUUCUUCAGCAGCAAACUGAAGUAGCUCUGCAGUAGCUGUACUCUGCCUCUGCUUUUUCUUUCCUUUCAGGUACAGUUUCGGUUUCUAGGGGUGGUUUCCCUGAGGUGUGUUUCAUGUUUUUCUUCUUGUCAUAAUUUCACAUUGCAGCAUUUCUCUGCAACUUUAACUGGCUUGUCAGGACUUGUCAUGCAACACAUAAAACAUUAAGGGGGUGGGAGUGUGGGGGGGGGGGGAUCACAAAGCUUCAGAGUAAACAAAAUAAAGAUUUGACAGAAUAGCACGACCAACAGUGACAGCGCUCUUUAUUAUCUGAGCGAGUUCUGAGCCUGUUCUGAGCCUGUUCUGAGCCUGUUCUGAGCGAGUUCUGAGCCUGUUCUGAGCCUGUUCUGAGCCUGUUCUGAGCGUGUUCUGAGUGUGUUCAGAGCCUGUUCUGAGCGUGUUCUGAGUGUGUUCUGAGUGUGUUCUGAGUGUGUUCUGAGCCUGUUCUGAGCCUGUUCUGAGCCUGUUCUGAGCCUGUUCUGAGCCUGUUCUGAGCCUGUUCUGAGCGUGUUCUGAGCGUGUUCUGAGCGUGUUCUGAGCCUGUUCUGAGCCUGUUCUGAGUGUGUUCUGAGCCUGUUCUGAGUGUGUUCUGAGCCUGUUCUGAGUGUGUUCUGAGCCUGUUCUGAGCCUGUUCUGAGCCUGUUCUGAGCGUGUUCUGAGCGUGUUCUGAGCGUGUUCUGAGUGUGUUCAGAGCGUGUUCAGAGCGUGUUCUGAGCGUGUUCUGAGCGUGUUCUGAGCGUGUUCUGAGUGUGUUCAGAGCCUGUUCUGAGUGUGUUCUGAGCCUGUUCAGAGCGGGUUCUGAGUGUGUUCUGAGUGUGUUCAGAGCGGGUUCUGAGCCUGUUCUGAGCGGGUUCUGCGCUUUGCUGCGGCGCUCUCCGGCCGUGGCUCACUGCGCCGGCGGGAUCGGGGGCGCCGCUGCUCCGCCGCUGCUGUGGUUAAUCGCUCCACGGCGCUCGACGGAAAAGCCGGGCUGGACCGGCGGGAACAGCGGGGUUUCCUGGGCUGAGCCCGGCCAGAGGGGGGUCGGGGUGGAGGUCAGGCGCCAGGGCGAACAAGGACCGCUCCACCGCUCCCUGCUGGUCUCCAGACCCGCGCGCAACCAGCUGGAGCCGCUCCCAUCUCUCCCUCCUCUCCCUCCGCUCCGACUCCCGCUGCUCCCCAACGGAAUCCAGACCUGCUUUUCCUUCUCACUUGUUCCCAACAAAAUUAUUUUCAGAUUUAAACAGAGUUGUGGACUGACCUUAUGGGUUGGGAGCCCUUGUGUCAAGUGUGCAGUUAAGUUGAGAGUGGCUAGGCUAGGCUCGUUGUACCAGGGCUCAGUAUGCGGACCAGAGAGGUCUAUUCAAUCCUGCUACAGUCGCCUUGACCCAGCACUAGCUGCUAACUGCAGCCGGCGAACACUAGGAAUUUAAUAUGGUGUGCGUGUGCUCCAGGCUAGAGGGAUGUACUCUCCCAACAGGGUUCAGAGACAGUCUGGUGAAAACAGCAGAAGGUUUCCUAGCUAGGCCUGAGCAGGAUGUUUUGCAGUACUUAGUGACGCUGGUUUUUUUUUUUUUUUAAAUAAAAAAGUAGCCAGUGUGUGCUCUGCUGCCUCAAAGGCACGCAGGUGAGGAACAGGACUUUCCAAAAAUGCAAAGUUAUGCGUCUCUUGAGCAUAUUGUUAGUGUUCCCACAGCUAGCCCCUCAUCUCAGGCUUUUGCUGAGAUA
Long non-coding RNA from Anguilla rostrata (American eel), 3428 nucleotides. RefSeq lists it as uncharacterized. The record is from RefSeq and is a predicted model, not a curated record. NCBI's taxonomy places the organism in Eukaryota, Metazoa, Chordata, Actinopteri, Anguilliformes, Anguillidae. The transcript has 3 exons.